GAUGAACGCUGACAGAAUGCUUAACACAUGCAAGUCUUUGGCGAAGCUGUGCUUGCACAGCCUAGCCAAGGCGGACGGGUGAGUAACGCGUAAGGAACUUGCCCUGCAGUCAGGGAUAACAGACGGAAACGACUGAUAAGACCUGGUAAAGUCAGGCGGACUCAUGUCCAGCCUGAUGAAAAGAGAUGCUGCAGGAGAGCCUUGCGUCCUAUUAGCUUGUUGGUGGGGUAACGGCCCACCAAGGCGAUGAUAGGUAGCCGGCCUGAGAGGGUGGACGGCCACAAGGGGACUGAGAUACGGCCCUUACUCCUACGGGAGGCGGCAGUGGGGAAUAUUGGACAAUGGGGGCAACCCUGAUCCAGCAAUUCUGUGUGCACGAUGAAGGUUUUCGGAUUGUAAAGUGCUUUCAGCAGGGAAGAAAAAAAUGACGGUACCUGAAGAAGAAGCGACGGCUAAAUACGUG
This 463-nucleotide ribosomal RNA is filed under the name uncultured bacterium. RNAcentral's name for it is "partial 16S ribosomal RNA". It matches the Rfam family "Bacterial small subunit ribosomal RNA", at positions 28 to 507 of the family's 1533-position model. The record is from RNAcentral.